This 637-nucleotide ribosomal RNA is filed under the name uncultured archaeon. RNAcentral describes it as "bacterial SSU rRNA". It matches the Rfam family "Archaeal small subunit ribosomal RNA", at positions 4 to 634 of the family's 1478-position model. The record is from RNAcentral.
CCGGUUGAUCCUGCCGGAGGCUACUGUCAUCAGAGUUCGAUUAAGCCAUGUUAGUCGAGGGUGCUUCUUCUUCGGAAGAAGUAACCCGGCGGACGGCUCAGUAACACGUGGAUAACUUGCCCUUGGGUCCGGGAUAACCCCUGAGAAAUUGGGGACAAUACCGGAUAGGGCAUCGAUAGCUGGAAUGCACGAUGUCCAAAAGCUGAGGCGCCCAAGGAUAGGUCUGCGGCUGAUUAGGUUGUUGUUGAUGUAAUGGAUCAACAAGCCUGCAAUCGGUACGGGUUGUGAGAGCAAGAGCCCGGAGAUGGGUUCUGAGAAAAGAACCCAGGUCCUACGGGACGCAUCAGGCGCGAAAACUUUACAAUGUGCGAAAGCACGAUAAGGGAACUCUGAGUGCCUCCUAUGGAGGCUGUUCAGGUGUCUAAAAAGCACUUGAAGUAAGGGCUGGGUAAGACCGGUGCCAGCCGCCGCGGUAACACCGGCAGCCCAAGUGGUAGCCACGAUUAUUGGGUCUAAAGCGUCCGUAGCCGGCCAGGUAAGUUCUUUGGGAAAUUUAACCGCUCAACGGUUAAGCUUUCAGGGAAUACUGCUUGGCUUGGGACCGGGAGAGGUCAGAGGUACUUCAAGGGUAGGGGUG